GGGGUUGUGGCUUAGCGGUAGAGCGCUCGCCUGGUGAAUGUGGGGCCCUGGGUUCAAUCCCCAGCACCA
RNAcentral lists this transfer RNA (69 nucleotides) under Ictidomys tridecemlineatus (thirteen-lined ground squirrel). RNAcentral's name for it is "Spermophilus tridecemlineatus (thirteen-lined ground squirrel) tRNA". It matches the Rfam family "tRNA". From Rfam's summary of the family: Transfer RNA (tRNA) molecules are approximately 80 nucleotides in length. Their secondary structure includes four short double-helical elements and three loops (D, anti-codon, and T loops). Lineage: Eukaryota; Metazoa; Chordata; Mammalia; Rodentia; Sciuridae. The record is from Rfam by way of RNAcentral.